Molecule: long non-coding RNA, 208 nt
Organism: Myotis myotis
Lineage: Eukaryota; Metazoa; Chordata; Mammalia; Chiroptera; Vespertilionidae
Exons: 3
Source: RefSeq, a predicted model, not a curated record
CUUGGUGUGGUCCUCUUUGGAUUCCUCUUGUUUGCAGUUCUUUGGGCUUCCUGAACUUCAGCUUCUUGCUCCUGGGCUACCACCCUGUACAGCAAGCAUGUCAAACUCACGGCCCACAACGAAUAUUUUUGCGGCCCAGCCAAUAUAACGGCGCACCAUUUCUCUCCACUAAUACCAGCCUCGAAUAUUUUAGCAGCCGAUUGCCGCG